GCGACUGUAGCUCAGUUGGUAGAGCGGUACCUUGCCAAGGUACAGGUCGACGGUUCGAACCCGUUCAGUCGCUCCA
This 76-nucleotide transfer RNA is filed under the name Gammaproteobacteria bacterium. RNAcentral's name for it is "tRNA-Gly". It matches the Rfam family "tRNA". Rfam says of the family: Transfer RNA (tRNA) molecules are approximately 80 nucleotides in length. Lineage: Bacteria; Pseudomonadati; Pseudomonadota; Gammaproteobacteria. The record is from RNAcentral. RNAcentral also lists the same sequence under 4 other names.